AAGCUCGUAGUUGAAUUUCGGGGUCAGCAGGUUGGUCGUGCCAAUGGUAUGAACUGGCCUUGCUGAUUCCUCCCUCUUGAUGAGCCGUAAUGCCAUUAAUUUGGUGUUGCGGGGAAUCAGGACUGUUACUUUGAAAAAAUUAGAGUGUUUAAAGCAGGCAAGCGCUUGAAUACAUUAGCAUGGAAUAAUGAAAUAGGACGUUUGAUCCUAUUUUGUUGGUUUCUAGGAUUGACGUAAUGAUUAAUAGGGAUAGUUGGG
RNAcentral lists this ribosomal RNA (258 nucleotides) under uncultured Glomus. Its description in RNAcentral is "partial 18S ribosomal RNA". It matches the Rfam family "Eukaryotic small subunit ribosomal RNA", at positions 624 to 886 of the family's 1831-position model. Lineage: Eukaryota; Fungi; Glomeromycota; Glomeromycetes; Glomerales; Glomeraceae. The record is from RNAcentral.